This is a long non-coding RNA of Homo sapiens (human), 796 nucleotides long. NCBI's taxonomy places the organism in Eukaryota, Metazoa, Chordata, Mammalia, Primates, Hominidae. The record is from Ensembl.
UUCAUGCAACAGCAGGGACUCAGCUGUGGUCCCGGAACCUGGGUAUCUCUGUGCUCUUGGGGACCUGGUCCACCCAUGGCUGCCCAUAGACCAAUCAGCAUGCACUUUCUCCUUUCUGAGCCCAUAACAUCCCCGGACUCAGCCAGACUCACCAUCUGCGGGAAGGAGCUCCCCACUUUGGGUCUCCUCAGUUCUUCCAGAUGAGUGUCCUGCAGAAAGGAGAUACCCACUCUAGGUCUCCUCACUGCAGAGACCUGGAUACUUAACAGGACGACCUGACUGUGGAAAGGAGUUACCCACUUUGGGUCUCCUGAGAGCUGUUCUGUCCCUCACCGAAGCUCCUCUGUGCCUUGCUCACCCUCCAGUUGUCUGCGUACCUCAUUCCUCAUUGAUGUGGAACAAGAACUUGGGACAGGAUGAAUGGUGGGAUUGAAAGAGUGGUAAACAAGCAGGGCUGAAACACACCACUCUGCUUGCCAUGUUGUGGAUGACAAGAAGGAGAGAAUAGCUGCAGCCCUUCGGGAGGCCAGGCACAGGGACUCCCCAAGCCAGGGUUGUGACACCCUCUUUGGGCUCUGCAAUUACUUGUGUCUCCAAGCUUCUAGGUUCCACUACGUUCCCCUAGUCCAGAUGCGAGUGCCCACAGUGAAAGCCGCAUGCAGUACAUCUGGUCCAGCCACAGCCUUGCAUGGAGCUGGCAUCUGUGCUGGGGCCUGUAGCUGCCCGCCCCACCACAGCAACCAGUGUGCCUGGCUGUGCAUAGUGGCUGAACCCGCGCUUACUCAUGCACACUUCC